Drosophila sulfurigaster albostrigata is the source of this 445-nucleotide long non-coding RNA. RefSeq lists it as uncharacterized. The record is from RefSeq and is a predicted model, not a curated record. The transcript has 3 exons. Lineage: Eukaryota; Metazoa; Arthropoda; Insecta; Diptera; Drosophilidae.
GAGUGAAGCAUCGAUAACAUCGAUGUUUUCAAAACAUCGAAACCAUCGAUGGUUCGUGAUCACCAUCGAUGUUUUCACUAACAACUCUGCGCUCGGUACGAACAAAUUGAUUUCUAGUUGGUGGUUUGGUGGACGUUGAUGGAUGACGAAGGCAAGAUUACGUGAAAAGUAAGUUAUAUAUCUUCUUUACAAGCCCACGCUUCACUUAGAUAUGUGUGCACGUGUGUGUAUGUACACACAUACAUCCAUAAAUUAGCGAAAUUAGCCAAAUUUCACAUUUUCAUUUUGCAAAACAAAUCAAAGUGAAGUCCACCCGAGCCGAUGCCAUUAUUACCACAAGGCAAUUUAUGGAAAAGGAAAAUGCUCCUGACACUUGCGACCCCUUAAAGUAUUGGGAGAUGACUGAUGACAACGAUCUCAAAUUGGUUGUGCAAAAAUAUUUCUG